UACGUAGGGAGCAAGCGUUGUCCGGAUUCACUGGGUGUAAAGGGUGCGCAGGCGGAUUUGUAAGUCAGAAGUGAAAUCUCACGGCUUAACCGUGAAACUGCUUUUGAUACUGCAGAUCUUGAGUUUGGGAGAGGUUGAUGGAAUUCCAGGUGUAGCGGUGAAAUGCGUAGAUAUCUGGAAGAACACCAGUGGCGAAGGCGGUCAACUGGCCCAUAACUGACGCUCAGGCACGAAAGCGUGGGUAGCGAACAGG
Molecule: ribosomal RNA, 253 nt
Filed under: uncultured bacterium
Lineage: Bacteria
Description: partial 16S ribosomal RNA
Rfam family: Bacterial small subunit ribosomal RNA
Source: RNAcentral